CACCAUAGAGAACGGGGGUAUACAAUAGAUAACAAGUAGUUAGGUUUGAACAAAGUGCAGGACAAGGCAUAAGAUCAGUGACAUCAAAGAGAAUCUGGAAACCACUCAAUGACUUGUCAUGGGCGUUGUAACUUUGAAAAUUUCUGUUUCUCUCUGAUAAAUGGAGAAGUAAGAUGCUUACUAUAAUUAUUUCAGGAUGAAAGUGGGGAAAUUUACCAUUAUGGAAUACAAGUUUCCAAAGCAACUUCUAUGUUGAUAUUUAUUGAGAAGCUCAACAUUCUUGUUUGGAUCAACUUAUGGUACCACAUAAUCGUUGCACCUUGGAACACUUUUUUUGGCUGCCAUGGCUGGAAAUUGCUCUAACUAGUGUAGUAAUAUACUAAUAUCCCCUUCAAGGUAUCUUCAGCUGGGUAUUUGACUUUCAGAUGUUCUUGGAGUUAGCACUUGUUUCUAUGGAGAGUUAAAUUAGGGUUCAGCUGUCUUCCUUCAUGUAAGGCUAAAUUUCUAGCUAUCUAGAGGUGAUCCACAAGGACCUCAACAAGAGCUUCAAACAGAAGAAAUUCCUCAUCAUUUUGUGGUAGAAAACCAGCAGGGGGGACAACCAGAAAUUCAAAGAAUUAAGCUGAGUUAAAUUGCAUCACAUCAGGUAUGAACACCAUCUUCCUCCAAACCACAUCAAUCUGGCCGCAUAGUAUCUUCAGCUGUUACGUAAUCCAUGUUUCAGUGUCAUAAUAUCCCCCUCCAAGGUAUCUUCAGCUAGUAUGUAACAAGUACAAGGGUAGCAAUUUGCCUGGCAAUCAGAGAAGCCUUAAUAUUGUUGAAAAACAAUGGGGUUGUUAUCUGAUGUUAUAACACUUAUUAUUAGUAGGGGAAGCUAGUCAAUAUUGCAGUUGCCUUAGUUCUAAGCUAAUAGCAAAGCCAAAAAUAAGUGACGAGAGGACCAAAC
Molecule: long non-coding RNA, 946 nt
Organism: Quercus lobata
Lineage: Eukaryota; Viridiplantae; Streptophyta; Magnoliopsida; Fagales; Fagaceae
Exons: 3
Source: RefSeq, a predicted model, not a curated record